UACGUAGGUGGCAAGCGUUGUCCGGAUUUACUGGGCGUAAAGAGCGCGCAGGCGGUCGUUCAAGUCGCGUGUGAAAGCCCCCGGCUCAACUGGGGAGGGUCACGCGAUACUGAUCGACUCGAAGGCAGGAGAGGGUAGUGGAAUUCCCGGUGUAGUGGUGAAAUGCGUAGAUAUCGGGAGGAACACCAGUGGCGAAGGCGACUACCUGGCCUGUUCUUGACGCUGAGGCGCGAAAGCUAGGGGAGCAAGCGGG
This 253-nucleotide ribosomal RNA is filed under the name uncultured bacterium. Its description in RNAcentral is "partial 16S ribosomal RNA". It matches the Rfam family "Bacterial small subunit ribosomal RNA", at positions 524 to 776 of the family's 1533-position model. The record is from RNAcentral.